GUCGGCGGCUUAGGAUUGGUAUAAGGGCCCGACCCCAUGCCGAACUCAGAAGUGAAACGCCGUAGCGCCGAUGGUAGUGUGGGGUCUCCCCAUGCGAGAGUAGGGAACUGCCAGGC
This 116-nucleotide ribosomal RNA is filed under the name Escherichia coli. The record is from RNAcentral. Lineage: Bacteria; Pseudomonadati; Pseudomonadota; Gammaproteobacteria; Enterobacterales; Enterobacteriaceae.